This 211-nucleotide ribosomal RNA is filed under the name uncultured fungus. RNAcentral describes it as "partial small subunit ribosomal RNA". The stretch from base 45 to 211 matches the Rfam family "Eukaryotic small subunit ribosomal RNA", at positions 694 to 863 of the family's 1831-position model. The record is from RNAcentral. Lineage: Eukaryota; Fungi.
GGGUUCUACUGUUGGUCGGGCUUUGUCUGUACUGGCGUGUAGAAUUUCUACCUUCUGGGAACCAUCAUGUUAUUAAUUUAACGUGGUGGGAAACCAGGACCUUUACCUUGAAAAAAUUAGAGUGUUCAAAGCAGGCUUAUGUCUGAAUACAUUAGCAAGAAAUAAUAGAAUAGGACGGUGGUCCUGUUUUGUUGGUUUCUGAAUCACCGUA